This 72-nucleotide transfer RNA is filed under the name Biomphalaria glabrata. It matches the Rfam family "tRNA". Rfam says of the family: Transfer RNA (tRNA) molecules are approximately 80 nucleotides in length. The record is from Rfam by way of RNAcentral. Lineage: Eukaryota; Metazoa; Mollusca; Gastropoda; Planorbidae.
GGCACUGUGGCUGAGCUGUAAAGCGCUUGCCUUCUAAUCCGGAGGUCCCUGGUUCGAAUCCUGGUAAAGACU